RNAcentral lists this ribosomal RNA (686 nucleotides) under uncultured Mycobacterium sp. RNAcentral describes it as "bacterial SSU rRNA". It matches the Rfam family "Bacterial small subunit ribosomal RNA", at positions 133 to 833 of the family's 1533-position model. Lineage: Bacteria; Bacillati; Actinomycetota; Actinomycetes; Mycobacteriales; Mycobacteriaceae. The record is from RNAcentral.
GCACUUCGGGAUAAGCCUGGGAAACUGGGUCUAAUACCGAAUAGGACCAUUUAGCGCAUGCUUUAUGGUGGAAAGCUUUUGCGGUGUGGGAUGGGCCCGCGGCCUAUCAGCUUGUUGGUGGGGUGACGGCCUACCAAGGCGACGACGGGUAGCCGGCCUGAGAGGGUGUCCGGCCACACUGGGACGGAGAUACGGCCCAGACUCCUACGGGAGGCAGCAGUGGGGAAUAUUGCACAAUGGGCGCAAGCCUGAUGCAGCGACGCCGCGUGGGGGAUGACGGCCUUCGGGUUGUAAACCUCUUUCAGCAGGGACGAAGCGCAAGUGACGGUACCUGCAGAAGAAGCACCGGCCAACUACGUGCCAGCAGCCGCGGUAAUACGUAGGGUGCGAGCGUUGUCCGGAAUUACUGGGCGUAAAGAGCUCGUAGGUGGUUUGUCGCGUUGUUCGUGAAAUCUCACGGCUUAACUGUGAGCGUGCGGGCGAUACGGGCAGACUGGAGUACUGCAGGGGAGACUGGAAUUCCUGGUGUAGCGGUGGAAUGCGCAGAUAUCAGGAGGAACACCGGUGGCGAAGGCGGGUCUCUGGGCAGUAACUGACGCUGAGGAGCGAAAGCGUGGGGAGCGAACAGGAUUAGAUACCCUGGUAGUCCACGCCGUAAACGGUGGGUACUAGGUGUGGGUUUCCUU